Molecule: transfer RNA, 65 nt
Filed under: Phyllonorycter platani
Lineage: Eukaryota; Metazoa; Arthropoda; Insecta; Lepidoptera; Gracillariidae
Description: tRNA-Ile
Source: RNAcentral
AAUAAAGUGCCUGAAUAAAGGAUUAUUCUGAUAGGAUAAAUUAUGUAAUUAGUUUACCUUUAUUA